CCUACGGGCGGCAGCAGUGGGGAAUAUUGGACAAUGGGGGCAACCCUGAUCCAGCCAUGCCGCGUGUGUGAAGAAGGCCCUCGGGUUGUAAAGCACUUUCAGUGAGGAAGAACGCCUGGUGGUUAAUACCCAUCAGGAAAGACAUCACUCACAGAAGAAGCACCGGCUAACUCCGUGCCAGCAGCCGCGGUAAUACGGAGGGUGCGAGCGUUAAUCGGAAUUACUGGGCGUAAAGCGCGCGUAGGUGGCUUGAUAAGCCGGUUGUGAAAGCCCCGGGCUCAACCUGGGAACGGCAUCCGGAACUGUCAAGCUAGAGUGCAGGAGAGGAAGGUAGAAUUCCCGGUGUAGCGGUGAAAUGCGUAGAGAUCGGGAGGAAUACCAGUGGCGAAGGCGGCCUUCUGGACUGACACUGACACUGAGGUGCGAAAGCGUGGGUAGCAAACAGGAUUAGAUACCCUGUAGUC
RNAcentral lists this ribosomal RNA (464 nucleotides) under Vreelandella stevensii. RNAcentral describes it as "partial 16S ribosomal RNA". It matches the Rfam family "Bacterial small subunit ribosomal RNA", at positions 338 to 795 of the family's 1533-position model. Lineage: Bacteria; Pseudomonadati; Pseudomonadota; Gammaproteobacteria; Oceanospirillales; Halomonadaceae. The record is from RNAcentral.